GAUGAACGCUGGCGGCGUGCCUAACACAUUCAAGUCGAACGGACUUUACUGAGAAGCUUGCUUUUUGGUAAAGUUAGUGGCGGACGGGUGAGUAACGCGUGAGCAACCUGCCUCUGUGAGUGGAAUAACGUCUGGAAACGGACGCUAAUACCGCAUGACACAUUUUGACCGCAUGAUCGAAAUGUCAAAGAUUUAUCGCACAGAGAUGGGCUCGCGUCUGAUUAGAUGGUUGGUGAGGUAACGGCUCACCAAGUCGACGAUCAGUAGCCGAACUGAGAGGUUGAUCGGCCACAUUGGGACUGAGACACGGCCCAGACUCCUACGGGAGGCAGCAGUGGGGAAUAUUGCGCGAAUGGGGGCAACCCUGACGCAGCAACGCCGCGUGAAGGAUGAAGGUCUUCGGAUCGUAAACUUUGUCUUAUGGGAAGAAAACAGACGGUACCAUAGGAGGAAGCCACGGCUAACUACGUG
This 471-nucleotide ribosomal RNA is filed under the name uncultured bacterium. RNAcentral's name for it is "bacterial SSU rRNA". It matches the Rfam family "Bacterial small subunit ribosomal RNA", at positions 28 to 507 of the family's 1533-position model. The record is from RNAcentral.